UGGAACGUCUCGAAAAUUUCAGAAUCGUGCACGGGUUAAAGUUCUCCCUGAUACAUCUAAAGCAUCUGAGAUGACAUCCUCAGCAUUAGCAGCUAGUCAUGGCUGUUUAACCCUGUUGAAAAAGAAGCGUUCGGGAGGAAGCCGGCCUCGAGCUGUUGGAAAACGAACCCCACGCUUUCCUGUAUCUUUUUCUUACGAGAAUCCCAAGGGUGAGAAGUAUUUUUCUCCAAGUAGGCAAAGUUUGAAACUGCAGGCAGAUGAUAGUGAUGAUGAUGUGAAGAUAGCAUUAGUUUUAACAGAAGCUUCACAAAGA
This 313-nucleotide unclassified non-coding RNA is filed under the name Hevea brasiliensis (rubber tree). The record is from RNAcentral. Lineage: Eukaryota; Viridiplantae; Streptophyta; Magnoliopsida; Malpighiales; Euphorbiaceae.